This 465-nucleotide ribosomal RNA is filed under the name uncultured bacterium. RNAcentral describes it as "partial 16S ribosomal RNA". It matches the Rfam family "Bacterial small subunit ribosomal RNA", at positions 28 to 507 of the family's 1533-position model. The record is from RNAcentral.
GACGAACGCUGGCGGUGUGCUUAACACAUGCAAGUCGAACGGUAAGGCCCUUUCGGGGGUACACGAGUGGCGAACGGGUGAGUAACACGUGAGUAACCUGCCCUCAUCUCUGGGAUAACAGUCGGAAACGGUUGCUAAUACUGGAUAUGAGCCUGCAAGGCAUCUUGUGGGUUGGAAAGAUUUUUUGGUUGGGGAUGGACUCGCGGCCUAUCAGCUUGUUGGUGAGGUAGUGGCUCACCAAGGCUUCGACGGGUAGCCGGCCUGAGAGGGCGACCGGCCACAUUGGGACUGAGAUACGGCCCAAACUCCUACGGGAGGCAGCAGUGGGGAAUAUUGCACAAUGGGCGGAAGUCUGAUGCAGCAACGCCGCGUGCGGGAUGACGGCCUUCGGGUUGUAAACCGCUUUCAAUUGUGACGAAGCUUUUUGUGACGGUAGCAGUAGAAGAAGCACCGGCUAACUACGUG